RNAcentral lists this ribosomal RNA (651 nucleotides) under uncultured archaeon. Its description in RNAcentral is "bacterial SSU rRNA". It matches the Rfam family "Archaeal small subunit ribosomal RNA", at positions 508 to 1157 of the family's 1478-position model. The record is from RNAcentral.
GCCUAAAGCGUCCGUAGCCGGCUUUGUAAGUUUUCGGUUAAAUCUAUAUGCUCAACAUAUAGGCUGCCGGGAAUACUGCAAAGCUAGGGAGUGGGAGAGGUAGACGGUACUCCGUAGGAAGGGGUAAAAUCCUUUGAUCUAUGGAUGACCACCUGUGGCGAAGGCGGUCUACCAGAACACGUCUGACGGUGAGGGAUGAAAGCUGGGGGAGCAAACCGGAUUAGAUACCCGGGUAGUCCCAGCUGUAAACUAUGCAAACUCAGUGAUGCAUUGGCUUGUGGCCAGUGCAGUGCCGCAGGGAAGCCGUUAAGUUUGCCGCCUGGGAAGUACGUACGCAAGUAUGAAACUUAAAGGAAUUGGCGGGGGAGCACCACAAGGGGUGAAGCCUGCGGUUCAAUUGGAGUCAACGCCAGAAAUCUUACCCGGAGAGACAGCAGGAUGAAGGUCAAGCUGAAGACUUUACCAGACAAGCUGAGAAGUGGUGCAUGGCCGUCGCCAGCUCGUGCCGUGAGGUGUCCUGUUAAGUCAGGUAACGAGCGAGAUCCUUGCCUCUAGUUGCUACCAUUACUCUCAGGAGUAGUGGAGCGAAUUAGCGGGACUGCCGUAGUUAAUACGGAGGAAGGAGAGGGCCACGGCAGGUCAGUAUGCCCC